UUUACGGAGAGUUUGAUCCUGGCUCAGAACUAACGCUGGCGGCGUGCCUAACACAUGCAAGUCGAGCGGUCACCAAUUUGUAGCAAUACAGACGAAGUGAUAGCGGCAGACGGGUGAGUAACACGUAGGCAAUCUACCUUUCCGUCCGGGAUAACUAGCCGAAAGGUUAGCUAAUACCUGAUACGACCAUCGAGCGGCA
This is a ribosomal RNA of 199 nucleotides. It matches the Rfam family "Bacterial small subunit ribosomal RNA", at positions 1 to 191 of the family's 1533-position model.